Molecule: transfer RNA, 107 nt
Filed under: Microchloropsis gaditana
Lineage: Eukaryota; Eustigmatophyceae; Eustigmatales; Monodopsidaceae
Description: tRNA-Val
Source: RNAcentral
GGCACUAUGGUGUAGUUGGUUAUCACAUCUCCUUGACGAUGCUCUUACCUCAAGUAGAGCACAAUUCGGGAUGGAGAAGGUCUCCAGUUCAAGUCUGGAUAGUGUCA